RNAcentral lists this transfer RNA (72 nucleotides) under Strongylocentrotus purpuratus (purple sea urchin). It matches the Rfam family "tRNA". Rfam says of the family: Transfer RNA (tRNA) molecules are approximately 80 nucleotides in length. Their secondary structure includes four short double-helical elements and three loops (D, anti-codon, and T loops). Lineage: Eukaryota; Metazoa; Echinodermata; Echinoidea; Camarodonta; Strongylocentrotidae. The record is from Rfam by way of RNAcentral.
GCCUCCGUGGCCUAAUGGAUAAGGCAUCGGUUUCCUAAACCGGGGAUUGUGGUUCGAGUCCCACCGGAGGUG